CCUCUCUUGACCUGGAGCCAUUCCGGAACAGCCAGCAUCCAAUCACAGCAGCUGACCAAGGGCCAUUGGGAAGUGACAUAAUCCCUGAACUUUAGCUCCACCAUCACUGAUCACAACCACCCUCUGAUCUGCACAGCAGCAUACAGGGGAGGGAAGAUGGUGAACAGCUCCAAAACUGUCAAUGUCAAAUUCUGAGUUCCAUUGGAGUGUUCACACUGCACAAAAAAAGAGUGACCAGCCAGUAACCAAUAUGCAGGACAUGGAUACAGCCAACUUUGCUUCCUCAGAUCCCUCACCAUCAAGAGAAAGCAUCUGAGAGUGGUCCUAACUCUAUCCACACGAAAGAGCAGAAAGACACCAGCAGUGAAAUCAACACAAACUACCACACCAACAAUCAGCUAUAUGGCAACAUGGAGGCUGAAGAGGAUGGCGACCCAUACGAGUGUGAUGGUGGAGACGAAGCAGUCUAUGGUAACUUGUGAACACAACAGGAAGUAUGUGGGAGUCAGCUGGCCCAGAGGCAGUGGUACUCCGUCUCUCAAAGGUUCCAGUAAAAUAUUAACAGUCUAAACCAAUGUAGCAGAGCUGGUGACUGCUUAUAUUUGUUAGCUUGAUGUAGCUUUAUAGUUCUUAUGGCUAAUGAAUAUGGUACAUUCUUAUUUGGGCUGUGGCUUUGUGUUAUGGCUUUUACAAGGCAUUUGUUUAUCAUCUAUUGCUUGGGUGAUUCAGAAGAGUUUUUACAAAAUGUUUAAUAUGCACAAUAAAUCAACCAGUAUUUAACGAUAGAUUGUUCCCCACUUCCCCAGCUGUCUGUUGAAAUUGUGUCUUGAGGGUAAUCUGAGUGUGGGACUUUCAGUGUUUCUCCACUUGGGGUUGCUCUUUCAUUUAUUGAGAUUUUCAACAUCUGUUUAUUUCCAUGGGGUUUGAGCUAUUUCACAAUACUGAUUUUGUCAGCUUUCUUGACCCUCUCUAUAAGAACAUAUCGGUAACGGGCAUACAAAUCAAAAUCCAGACAAUUAUUAAUUGUUAUUAGGUUCUGAUUGUAGCUCUGUAUACAUGAUUAAAUCUGGAGAAAAAAUAAGAAAGUUUCACAAAACAUGUUUUUGAACGAAUCCUUCAUAUGAUUUGAAAGGCUUAGAAACAUUUUAAUGUAUUCAAUGUAUUUGGUGAGAAAGGCCUCCCCAUACUAAUUCCUGGGAGUGCAGGAUAUAGUGUCCUUAUCCUCAAACUCCCCCUCCACUAAAAAUGUAGAGGUUGACUUGUCAAAUGUGUGGUUUUGUUGGUUCAGCCCGACUAAUCUGCAUACUUUUCUGGAAGGUCUGUUGGGAGAAUAUGGACCAUUUGUUUAUAGCCACACAGCAUAUUUUUUACAGACCACUUCAGAAGUGCAAUGAGCUACAAUCACUCUGGAACUUCCUCAAUUACUGUGAUCUUCAGGAAUUCAAAUCAAAUCACAUUUUAUUAGUCACAUGCGUCGAACACAACAGGUGUAGACCUUACAGUGAAAUGCUUACUUACGAGCCCCUAACCGACAGUGCAGUUUCAAAAAAUACGGAUACGAAUAAGAGCUAAAAGUAACAAGUAAUUAAAGAGGAGCAGUAA
Molecule: non-coding RNA, 1602 nt
Organism: Salmo salar (Atlantic salmon)
Lineage: Eukaryota; Metazoa; Chordata; Actinopteri; Salmoniformes; Salmonidae
Source: RefSeq, a predicted model, not a curated record